UAACGAGCGUGUAAAUUUUUGUCUUGCAUUAAAAAAAUUGUCUCGACUACUGGGCGACAGCCAUCUAACUGUACCCAGCACCUGGUGUCCUCAACCUCGAAGACAAGUCAGUACAGCGUAUUGACUCGUCCAGGUGCAAUGUUGCGGCUAGCGCUCCUGAUGCUGUGUUGUGCGGAUUUGGCUUGGCCCAACGCAAUACUCAAUUGUGAAUGCUGGGACGGAUAUAAGGCCGAACAUAAUAAAAAUGGUUCCCAGUGUGUGGGAGUCAAUUUAUUCCACAUAAUGCCCUGCAAUAUGGCGAAGGCACCGAAAUGUCAAUGUUCCGGGAGAGUUAGCAGCAUCUUGAAAGAUCGAACCGGCACUUGGUGCACGCGAUAUUCGAACGGCGUGGAGCUGACGAGGUGGCCUUGCGAGAAUGCACGGGAAUGGGAAGAGUUUUUCAAGAAAAAUCCCGAUUUUAUUUAAUAUUGUGCGCUAUUUUUUGGAACAAAUAAUUUAUAAUGAUGUAGUCACAAUAAAACUCUAAAAAAAUAAGUUACUGUGUUAAUUUGCAGAAGAUUAUCGCACGAACAACAAAUUAUUUUCUUGACAGAAGCCACAUACACCGUAUUUAUGAGAUAAUCUCACUCGAACCAUGAAUAAUAAAUCUUGUUAUUGCCGCUUAAGCAUUCAACCAAACAAUUAUCUCUGCAAAACAUACAGAGGCCACAAAAACAACUUUACUAUCUUUAGACUUAUACUCUCAUCCCAAUAUUUGAACAGUUCAUUAGCUAGUAGUACAUUUUACCGCCUGUGAUAAAUAUUUUGAAUAUUUGGUGACAAAUCAUGAAGUUGGCAUGCUUAUGCUUUGUCGUUACAAUACUGGCUGCCGUCCAGGCCAAAUUAGUGACCGUAGAAAAAGACUGCACAUGUUGGGAAGACUUCAAGCCUGAAAAAAGCGUAUCUGGCAGAUACUAUUGUCGAGGUGACAAGCAUAAUCGGGUUUUUGGCUGCAACGACGAGAAACCUCCGAUCUGCAAAUGUAUAAUCAAUGGAAAACUGACUAAAAUGGAUUUGGGAGAAACGGAUUGUUUCAGUGGGAACUUGAAAACUAGCAGGCGGUAUUGCGAGAAUUAUGCUGAAAUUGACAAAUAUUUUGAAAAAUAUCCUGAAUUCGCGAUAUUGUACGGUGAUUGAAAAUUUUAACUUAAAUUGCACGUUAUGUUGGAACUUUUGUAGUAACACUGAUUUAUUUACUGAGUUCUAUUGAUGUACCGUAAAAAUAUAAUUGUGAAAUAAAUUGUUCGUUUUACUGUCGCACGUAAUUUCAUUCUAGAGAUAUUAUUGGAUUUAUUGGCUCACAAUGUGUAAUAUAAAUGGCAAUUUUAAAAAACUACAACCCACCAGCGUUACAUGUAUUUGGACAUCUCAUUUCGGAGUAUUGGUGCGAGGUACUAAUCCUAUUAAAAGCUAAAGCAAAUUUUAUAAACAAAGUAUGUAACAUAUUUAUUUUAUGAGACACAUUUGUAUCAACAGAAUUAUUGUUAUGCAAUUAGUGAUAUAAGAUUUCUAUUUCUGGUUUCAAAGCUUCACUUAAAUGGGAAAAACAAGACGGAAAAUUUCGCGUGCCUGAAAGUCACGGUAUUAUUACCAUGUUUAUUAUCAUUUCAAUUAGGUGUGAUGAAUCCUGUUAUUGUUGUCAAGACAGUUGCUCAUGUAAACAUUUACACAGACUUGAAGAUAAUACAAUGUAGACCAUUUAAGUAGAUUUUCUGACUCACCAAUACUUCUAUAUUUUUCCCAAGGUAAAGUUAACAAGUUUACAAAUUUACACCUAGCUCCUCCUUGUUUGUCUCUUCACGAUCUUUAUAAAACAAGUCUCUAAGAGGCUCUCCUCAUUUCAAAGUGAGCACCAUGAAACUGAUCCUGCUGUGCAUCUUUGUAACCAUUUUGGCUGCUACAAGCAGCGAAGAGGUGAAGAACGAAAAAGACUGCAAGUGUUGGGAGGACUUCAAACCGGAAAAGGUUGAAAAUGGCGACACUUAUUACUGCAGAGGGCAGAAAAACCAUCGAAUUUUCGGCUGCAAUGAAGACAGGCCGCCGAUUUGUCAAUGCGAAAAAGAUGGUAAAACAAUAAGUUUGGAUUUGGGCGAAACGGACUGCCUCAGCGUGGACCUCCAAAACGGUCGCUGGUGUAAAAACAGGAAAGAGUUUGAGGAGUAUUUCAAGAAACAUCCGGAACAUGCAAUUUACGAUUAAAAAUUAAUGUUGCUGUAACAGUGUUGCAAUAAAGUUUUAUUAAUAUAAA
Molecule: RNA transcript, 2287 nt
Organism: Tribolium castaneum (red flour beetle)
Lineage: Eukaryota; Metazoa; Arthropoda; Insecta; Coleoptera; Tenebrionidae
Exons: 4
Source: RefSeq, a predicted model, not a curated record